CAACUUCGCCUUGGACUUCCCACUUGGUGCCAAUUCGUGCCGUUCGUUAGUGUAAUUUAGAAGGAAGUAAAAGUCGUAACAAGGUUUCCGUAGGUGAACCUGCGGAAGGAUCAUUAGUGAAUAUAGGACGUCCAACUUAACUUGGAGUCCGAACUCUCACUUUCUAACCCUGUGCAUUUGUUUGGGAUAGUAACUCUCGCAAGAGGGCGAACUCCUAUUCACUUAUAAACACAAAGUCUAUGAAUGUAUUAAAUUUUAUAACAAAGUAAAACUUUCAACAACGGAUCUCUUGGCUCUCGCAUCGAUGAAGAACGCAGCGAAAUGCGAUAAGUAAUGUGAAUUGCAGAAUUCAGUGAAUCAUCGAAUCUUUGAACGCACCUUGCGCUCCAUGGUAUUCCGUGGAGCAUGCCUGUUUGAGUGUCAUGAAUACUUCAACCCUCCUCUUUCUUAAUGAUUGAAGAGGUGUUUGGUUUCUGAGCGCUGCUGGCCUUUAGGGUCUAGCUCGUUCGUAAUGCAUUAGCAUCCGCAAUCGAACUUCGGAUUGACUUGGCGUAAUAGACUAUUCGCUGAGGAAUUCUAGUCUUCGGACUAGAGCCGGGUUGGGUUAAAGGAAGCUUCUAAUCAGAAUGUCUACAUUUUAAGAUUAGAUCUCAAAUCAGGUAGGACUACCCGCUGAACUUAAGCAUAUCAAUAAGCGGAGGAAAAGAAACUAACAAGGAUUCCCCUAGUAGCGGCGAGCGAAGCGGGAAGAGCUCAAAUUUAUAAUCUGGCACCUUCGGUGUCCGAGUUGUAAUCUCUAGAAAUGUUUUCCGCGUUGGACCGCACACAAGUCUGUUGGAAUACAGCGGCAUAGUGGUGAGACCCCCGUAUAUGGUGCGGACGCCCAGCGCUUUGUGAUACAUUUUCGAAGAGUCGAGUUGUUUGGGAAUGCAGCUCAAAUUGGGUGGUAAAUUCCAUCUAAAGCUAAAUAUUGGCGAGAGACCGAUAGCGAACAAGUACCGUGAGGGAAAGAUGAAAAGCACUUUGGAAAGAGAGUUAACAGUACGUGAAAUUGUUGGAAGGGAAACGCUUGAAGUCAGACUUGCUUGCCGAGCAAUCGGUUUGCAGGCCAGCAUCAGUUUUCCGGGAUGGAUAAUGGUAGAGAGAAGGUAGCAGUUUCGGCUGUGUUAUAGCUCUCUGCUGGAUACAUCUUGGGGGACUGAGGAACGCAGUGUGCCUUUUGGCGGGGGUUUCGACCUCUUCACACUUAGGAUGCUGGUGGAAUGGCUUUAAACGACCCGUCUUGAAACACU
This 1292-nucleotide ribosomal RNA is filed under the name uncultured fungus. RNAcentral describes it as "eukaryotic LSU rRNA". The stretch from base 646 to 1292 matches the Rfam family "Eukaryotic large subunit ribosomal RNA", at positions 1 to 663 of the family's 3401-position model. The record is from RNAcentral. Lineage: Eukaryota; Fungi.